AGGGGCUUGGUUCAAUGGUAGAGCAUCGGUCUCCAAAACCGUUGAUGCGGGUUCGAUUCCUGCAGCCCCUGCCA
RNAcentral lists this transfer RNA (74 nucleotides) under Kandleria vitulina. Its description in RNAcentral is "tRNA-Trp". It matches the Rfam family "tRNA". Rfam says of the family: Transfer RNA (tRNA) molecules are approximately 80 nucleotides in length. Their secondary structure includes four short double-helical elements and three loops (D, anti-codon, and T loops). Lineage: Bacteria; Bacillati; Bacillota; Erysipelotrichia; Erysipelotrichales; Coprobacillaceae. The record is from RNAcentral. RNAcentral also lists the same sequence under 4 other names.